RNAcentral lists this ribosomal RNA (248 nucleotides) under uncultured Parasutterella sp. RNAcentral describes it as "partial 16S ribosomal RNA". It matches the Rfam family "Bacterial small subunit ribosomal RNA", at positions 524 to 771 of the family's 1533-position model. Lineage: Bacteria; Pseudomonadati; Pseudomonadota; Betaproteobacteria; Burkholderiales; Sutterellaceae. The record is from RNAcentral.
UACGUAGGGUGCGAGCGUUAAUCGGAAUUACUGGGCGUAAAGGGUGCGCAGGCGGUUGAGUAAGACAGAUGUGAAAUCCCCGAGCUUAACUCGGGAAUGGCAUAUGUGACUGCUCGACUAGAGUGUGUCAGAGGGAGGUGGAAUUCCACGUGUAGCAGUGAAAUGCGUAGAUAUGUGGAAGAACACCGAUGGCGAAGGCAGCCUCCUGGGACAUAACUGACGCUCAGGCACGAAAGCGUGGGGAGCAA